AACGAACGCUGGCGGCAGGCUUAACACAUGCAAGUCGAACGCCCCGCAAGGGGAGUGGCAGACGGGUGAGUAACGCGUGGGAAUCUACCCAUCUCUGCGGAAUAGCUCCGGGAAACUGGAAUUAAUACCGCAUACGCCCUACGGGGGAAAGAUUUAUCGGGGAUGGAUGAGCCCGCGUUGGAUUAGCUAGUUGGUGGGGUAAAGGCCUACCAAGGCGACGAUCCAUAGCUGGUCUGAGAGGAUGAUCAGCCACAUUGGGACUGAGACACGGCCCAAGCGCCUACGGGAGGCAGCAGUGGGGAAUAUCGGACAAUGGGCGCAAGCCUGAUCCAGCCAUGCCGCGUGAGUGAUGAAGGCCUUAGGGUUGUAAAGCUCUUUCACCGGUGAAGAUAAUGACGGUAACCGGAGAAGAAGCCCCGGCUAACUUCGUGCCAGCAGCCGCCGUAA
RNAcentral lists this ribosomal RNA (447 nucleotides) under uncultured bacterium. RNAcentral's name for it is "partial 16S ribosomal RNA". It matches the Rfam family "Bacterial small subunit ribosomal RNA", at positions 29 to 523 of the family's 1533-position model. The record is from RNAcentral.